Molecule: long non-coding RNA, 14741 nt
Filed under: Capsicum annuum
Lineage: Eukaryota; Viridiplantae; Streptophyta; Magnoliopsida; Solanales; Solanaceae
Description: long non-coding RNA (CANN_LNC000154)
Source: RNAcentral
GGAAUGAAGACUAAACAAUAAUUGACUUAACAAUAAAGAUAAAAGUUGAUCAUAUUAAAAGGUGUAACUGGUUAUGUCUCCUCCAACCACAACUUUAUAUUCAAGAACUUCAGUUAUCACCUCUGUGAUAAUUACGAUUUCAAGAACUCAUCUCUUCUAUAUCAAAGGUAACUUCUGAAAUGCCAAAUUGCUCGGCUGGAACAUCACCUUUUAUUUCAUUUUUAAUUUUGUCCAAUCGUAAUUUAUAUACCUCAAAUUGCUUUAACCUAUUCUCCAACAUGUGUUUAUAUGUUGGCAUUUUUGAGUCAAGGUCUUCCUCCUUGAAUGAUUAAAUUUUUACGAAGAUCUUCAAAUGUCUCAAAGACAUUUGUUUUGCUCAUAUCAGUAUGAUUCUGCUGGCUAUCAUUUUGUUUUAAUUCAUGAAACUUAUCAAUUACUUUUUCUAUACUUGGGAAGACAUAGAAAUGUGGUUUUUCAGCUUGUGUAAAAAGAAUAAAACCGACAUCUUCUCCGGUUAGAUUUGAAUACUCUUUCGCUUACUUGCCCAAGCCAUUUUUUCUUUUUGAAAAAGCAAUUGUGCGAGCUUCUUUAGACUCAAUCAACUUCAUUUUGAUCUUUUGCCUACCCUUUCCACCCCUUUUAUCCGUUGUGAAAUAAAUAAUUAGAGAAGAGAAAAGAUGUGUUGGUUGAAUAAGUCUGAGCAAUUUUGAGAGGAUUGCUUGUGUAAUUUAUAGUAGCUAUACAGGUUGGUUUGUCACGAGUAUUGACUCGUUUAUUGAAUAUUUUCAUAUUAUAAGCUUAAUCAUCACUUGUAUUUUCAUGUAUACAUAUUGUAUUCACAUUACGAGUUGAUUUUUCAUGAGUAUUGAACGAUUUAUUUAAUAUUUUUAUAUUAUAAAUUUAAUCAUCGUGUGUUUUAUCAUGUAUGCUUAUUGUGUUCACGUUAUGAGUCUAUUGUCUCGAGUAUUGACAGGUUUAUUUAAUAUUUUCAUAUCAUUAGUUUAAUCAUCACAGGUCUUUUCAUGUAAUAUUUUCAUAUUAUAAGUGUAAUCAUCACACGUCUUGUCAUGUAUACUUUUUGCGUUCACAUUAUGAGUCAGUUUGUCAUGAGUAUUAACAAGUUUAUUGAUAUUUUCAUAUUAUAAGUUUAAUUAAUCGUCAAGUGUCUUGUCAUGUAUACUUAUUAUAUUCACAUUAUGAGUUGGUUUGUCACAAGUAUUGACAGGUUUACUUGAUAUUAUAUUAUAAGUUUAAUCAUCACGUGUUCUGUCAUGUAUGCUUAUUGUGUUCACAUUAUGAGUCUUUUGCAACGAGUAUUGACAGGUUAAUUUAAUACUUUCAAAUUAUAAGUUUAAGCAUCACUUGUCCUAUCAUGUAAUAUUUUCAUAUUAUAAGUUAAAUCAUCACGAGUAUUAACAGGUUUAUUUAAUAUCUUCAUAUUAUAAGUUUAAUUGUCACGUGUCUUCUCAUGUAUAAAUAUCUAGUAACACUAAAUUUGUUGUGCAUGCAUUACAACUCAUAUAAUAUUGUGUUCCCUAAUAUGAGUUGGUUUGUCGCGAGUUUAACAAGUUUAUUAAGUAUGUUCAUAUUGUAAAUUUAACCAUCACGUGUCUUGUCAAGUAUAAAUGUCUAGUAAUACCAAAUUCAUUAUGUAUCCGUUAGAAGUCUUACAAUAUUGCGCUCACUAGUACACUUUGAGUUAGGCCUAUAAUUAAAUUGUUCUAUAAAAAAAUAUUUAUGCCUUUUAUAAGUUUCAUUUGAAACUAGUUUCUCGACGCGUGCGUCACACGUGUAUGCCUAGUCACACAAUACAAAUUCUGUUAAAUAUUAAUAAUACUCGUUGAAAUAAAAUUGAGUGAACCCUUUAGUACCCCCAUAGUCUAACUUCCUGAGGAUCCUAUUCCUCCCCCCACCCCACCCCACCCCCCGCGCUAAAAAAACUCAAUUUUGCAUAUUUUUGUCACUAUUUUGGACUGACAUGACACCUUUUGUCAACCUUUUUAGAUGACGUGACACCUUUGAUGUGGAACCCCAUUUUAUGUUAUAAAGGUGCCAUAUCAGCACAAAAGGGUAUCCAAAAUAUGCUAAAAUUAAGUUCGGUGGGGGUAAUAGGACCCCUGCGAAGUUGAAGUUUGUCAUAAUAACUUUGAUCAUAGUUUGAGGAGGUAUUGAAUGCCUAUCUCAAUAUAAUUUAGAUUAAGAAAAAGUGCACAUUUAUGUAACUAAUCAAUACAGAUCAUUAUUUGGUGACAUCUUUAUCGAGAUAUAGAUGACUAAAUGUUCCCUAAUCUAUGAAGAUGAACAAUUAAACUUUUGGAUACAUGUAUUAUUUAUACUAAGCAAAAAAUAUAUCAUCACCAUUUGUAAGAUACCCCGCAAAAUCUUAUGUUGAUAAUCAGCUCUUUUAACUCCAAAAAGCUUUUUUGAAGGUCCAACACUUAGAACAUUUUAGCUAGGUGUUCAACACUUAAUCUUAUUUUAAGCCUUCAAAGUCGGAGAUUUAUUUGACGUCCUUUUCGACAUUCAUUUUUUAUUUUUCAAGUUGCGUUGUGAUGGGGCAAGUCAAUAGUACAUUCCAGGUGAGUUUCAGAAUUUUCAAAAUCAGUUUAGGGCAUGUUUGGAUUUUGAAACAGUAGCAUCCUGCGAUUAGCAUGCGACGCAUGCUCCAUCUCACAGUCCCUAGCAUGCGAUAGAGCAUGCGACGCAUGCUCCAACUUAGUGUAUUAAGGGUAAAUUGAACUUUUUCCCCACCCUAUAUAUAUAUAUUCAAAAACACGGGAUUAAACCCAUUUUGAACCAAAAUACACUCAAAAUUCUCAAAAUCCUCUCAAGAACACCUUAGGCAUUCAAUUGGGGAUUUAAGUUCAAGAAAUUCAACCACAAACUUUGGGAAAUCAAGAACUAAGGUAUUCAUAGUGUUCAUUCAUGGAUUCCUUUCAUCCGUGAAGCCUAAGAAUCAAGUUUUAAACUAUGAAUUAUGAUAUUCAUGUAAUGGGUUGAUUUUGUUCAUGUGGUUGUUGUUGUAUGAUUCCCAAGUUGAAAUCUUUAUGUGUUGUUCACGAAACAAUGAAAGUAUGUGAAUUAAAACUUGUGCAAUUUAGUUGAAUUAUGGUGUUUUGACGCAUUAAUUGAUAAUCAUACCUAUGCCCUAAGUGGUGCAUGCAAGGAGUUUGAUAAAAUGCCUAAGAUACUAGAAACCAUGCCCAAUAGCUAAAUUAUGACCUAAAUGAUGAAUGCAUGAUAUUCCCUUAUGAUCAAUAUGACUUCCAUGAUAUUAUUGUGCAUUAUGAUAGUUGAUGGAAUGCUCAUGAAACUAGAUUGAUGAACCUAUGACUUUGAUUAUAUGCAUUCCUACCAUGUACAAGAUUAUGAUAAACAUGUGUUCCAUGAAAUCCCAAUUUAUUGUAUUAUGAAUUGUUGAUGAUUGUCAUGUAUUCAAGAAAGUCAUGCUUUGUCAGUUUCCUUCUAUUGAGUCCUUGGGGUACUUGUACCCGAAAAUAUUAUUGUGUGCCUAGAGUCAGUGUCAUGUUGUCACGAUAUCCUUAGUCAAGCCCCGAUCCAUAGAAUUCAGUCAGUCAUGUGACUCAGGAAAGUUCAGAAAUUCAGUAAUCUUAGUAGUAUCUGUCAGUCCUCGAAAAUUAGUUAAAUCAGUUUGGUUCAGUCCAGUUUAAUCAUAUUCAGUGUCUAUUCAUAUGAGAGUAGGAUUUAGCACCGAGCAAACCCAAGGAUGGAAACUCACCUGUUAGUUUAGGGUGUGAUUCUUAGAAGCAAUCCUUGUGUUCCAGAGCUACGUAGCCAGGUAGGUUGAGAUAUCCAACCUGCCAGUUGAGGGUUGAUGAGGUGGAUUAACCUGCCAAUUUUGGGUUCCCACCAUUCUCAUUAGAGUAUCUGCCAGUUGAGGAUCACCCACGGCUUGUCCUUACCGGUGGCGCGGUAUUGAAACUCUUCCAAUUGGGGUUAUAAAUUGGAACGCAACUCAGUUAUAUUACUUAUUUGGGGCAUGUCGGUUUGAUGACUACUUCCCACAGUUUCAGUAACAUUAUCAGUAAAAGAACUUAGAUAGUUCUUCAAAUUUCUGGACUGUCAAAUACAGUCACCUCAACUCAAUAGGGAACUCAGAUAGUUUCAUCAAAUUCAGGCCUGUUAGAUACAGUCACUCAUGUUAUCAGUAUAUCAGUUAUUAGAAUUCAUGUUAUCAGUCAUAUUAGAUAUCAGUAACUCAGGUUAUCAGUAUUCAGAUUCAAAAAUCAUGUUAUUACGAUAUCAGUGUCAGUCAUUAUGUUUUAUGUAUGUGUUCUCACGCUCAUGAUAGUCAGUCUGUUAGUAUUAUUUCUCAUGUAUAUGAACCCCUUGCAUUCAGCCUACCUCACAUGCAUACCAGUACAUUCAAUCGUACUGAUACAUUCGCGCUAUGUGGUUUUAAUACCAUAGGUUCAAAGGCACGAGAUCCAGAGCGUCAGUAGCAGUCCAGUUCCAGCAAUCAGAAUUAGCAGUGAGUCCUCAUCCUUUGAGGACAUGGUUAUUACCUUAUCAUUUCAGUAUUCGAGACUUAGUUUAUUUUAGUAGUUGGAGUUAGUUGGGGACAUGUCCCAUCAACUCCUUAUUCAAAAAGUUAGAGGCUUUUCAGACUAUCAUGUUUCAGAUAGUUUAUUUUAGUUGUGUUGGGUAUUUCAUACCCCAUUAAAAUGUUGUGUUUUAUCAUAUUUGAACCUUAUGGCCUUCCAGUCUUUAUUUCCAUAUUUAUUCAAUAUAUUAUGUAGUGUACAGGUACAGAUAUCAGUCAUGGGUUAGCUUGUGGUUCUUCAGAGUCAUGAGUAUCGUGUAGCACUUUGGGUACCAAAUUUGGCUCGUUAAAAACUUAGUAUCAGACCUAAGAAGUCUGAAAGCAGCAUCUAGUAGAGUCUUGUGCAUGGGUGUUUGCGCGCCACAUUUAUGUACAUGAGGCUAUGAGAUGUUUUAGGAACAAUUUCCCUUAUUUCAGUAUUCAUGUCGUGCCAGUGAGCAUAAUCUCAAGUUAAACUCUCAGUCUAAUCCAUUUCUCCUCUUCAUUUACAGAACAUGCCUCCCAAGAGAAGAAAUCAGCCUGUCCAAGAAGAUUUCUUGGCCAAAAGUAUUUCUCAUGCGAAGUUUAGAGCCGCAUUCACUACUCUUGCUCAGUCAGUUACUGCUCAGAAUGAAUGACCAGUAGUUUUUUCGGCUAACCCAAUGGCCAAUUCAGCUAUAUCUAGGAUUUGGGACUUCACCCGAAUGAACCCUCCAUCCCUUUUUGGGUCUAAGUCAGAUGAGGACCCUUAGGAAUUCAUUGAUCAGGUUCAGAAGUUUACAGACAUCAUGAGGGUGAUUGCCGUUGAGAGUGAUGAGCUAGCUGCAUAUCAGUUGCAGGAUAUAGCUUACACUUGGUUCAAACAGUGGAAGUCAGAGAGGUCAGAUGAUGCAUGUCUUAUAGAGUGGGAGGAGUUUGUCACUGCAUUCUUAGAUAGAUUCUUUCCCCAAGAGCUGAGAGAGGCUAAGGUGCUAGAAUUUAUCAACUUCAGGUAGGGAAACAUGAUGGUGAAAGAGUAUUCUCUUAAGUUACUCAAUUAGCCAGAUAUUCUCCUCAUGUGGUUGCAGAUAGCAGGGCCAAGAUGAGUAAGUUUGUUUCUAGGUGAAUGAUAGUGUGGUGAAUGAGUGUAGGUCUGCGAUAUUGAAAAGUGACAUGACCAUAGCCAGGAUUAUGAAUCGUGCUCAACAAAUAGAAAAUCAGAAGAUUAAGAUGAGAGAGAAGCAGAAUAAAAGAGCAAGGUCAGGUAGUUUUAACUUUGCUCAGCCUAAGUCAGAAGGAGAAAACUGUUCUCAUUUUUGCCCUAAGUCAUUAGUUCCAGCUCUUUCAUCCUCUAGUGCCCCAGUAUCAAAAUUCAGAGACGGCAACAGAGAUAGAACGUCAGGCUCUCAGUCUCAGGGCAGUGUUAGCAGUGCCCGAACUAAUCCUCUUUGUCAGACUUGUGGCAAGCACCAUCAAGGUAUUUGUAGAGCUGGCAGCGACAUUUGUUUCAGAUGUGUCAAGCCAAGACACAGAGUUUGAGAGUGUCCUCAGACAGGUUCUUAUUGUCAGUAGAAUCGUUCUACAACUCAGUCUGGUCGCCCAAACCAGUAGGGCGCCACUUCCAGCACUACAAGUGGGCAAUGCCCAAAUAGACUCUAUGCUCUCCAGACCUGAAAAGAUUAGGAAAAUUCUCCUGGUAUGGUUACUGGUAACGUUACAGAUCUUUCAUGUGCACGUUUAUGCUUUGCUAGAUCCAGGAGCUUUCUUUUCUUUUAUUACUUCUUAUAUAGCAGUUGAUUUUGGAGUGAGUCACGAAAUUUUAGCAGAGCCCUUCUCAGUAUCUACCCCAGUAGGUAAGACCAUUAUUGCUCGGUGGGUAUACCAGAACUGCCCGGUCAUGAUAUUUUAGAAAGCCACUUCAGCAGACUUAGUCGAAUUAGAGAUGACUGGUUUCGAUGUCAUUCUCAUCAUGGAUUGGCUUUAUUCCUGUUAUGCCACAGUCGAUUGCAAAAAUAGAAUUAUUCAGUUUCAGUUCCCAAAUGAACCCAUCUUAGAGUGGAGGGGUAGUACUUCAGCUUUUAGAGGUCAGCUUAUUUUUUACCUUCGGGCACGGAAAAUAAUAUCUAAGGGAUGUGUCUAUCAUCUUAUUCAUGUUAAGGACACUAGUUCCGAAACUUCCAGUCUUAAAUCGUCCUAGUGGUUAAUAAAUAUUCAAAUGUCUUUCUUGAAGAUCUCUCAUGAAUUUCUCUCGAAAGGGAAAUAGACUUCGGCAUUAAUCUUCUUCCAGAUACUCAGCUCAUAUCUAUUCUGCCAUACAGAAUGGUACCAACAGAACUCAGAGAGAUGAAAGAACAGUUGAAGGACCUCCUAGAUAAGGGAUUCAUCAGGCCUAGUGUUUCCCCAUGGGGUGCACCAGUCUUGUUCGUGCGCAAGAAAGACGGUUCUCUCAGGAUGUGUAUUGAUUAUCAUCAUCUCAAUAGGUCACGAUCAAGAACAAGUAUCAUUUUUCCAGAAUCAAUGACUUAUUUCACCGACUUCAAGGUGAUAGUUACUUCUCCAAAAUAGACCUCAGAUCGGGCUAUCAUCAGCUCAGAGUCAGAGAAAGUGAUAUUCCAAAAAUAGCUUUUCGUACUCAGUACGGUCACUUUGAAUUCCUAGUUAUGUCCUUUGGCCUUACCAAUUCCACAGUAGCUUUCAUGGACUUGAUGAACCGUGUGUUCAAGCAGUACGUGGACAUAUUUGUCAUAGUCUUCAUAAAUGAUAUUUUGGUCUAUUCUCGCACUGAGCGAGAUCAUGCAGACCAUCUCAGAAUAGCACAUCAGACUCUCAAAGACCAUCAGCUAUUCACUAAAUACAUUAAGUUCGAGUUUUGGAUAAGGUAUGUAGCAUUCCUUGGUCAUAUAAUUUUCGUGAUGGCAUUAGAGUCGAUUCUCAAAAGACCGAAGCAGUAAGAAAUUGGCCUUGCCCCAUCUCUUCAUCAGAUAUAAGGAGUUUCUUAGGUUUGGAUGGCCAUUAUAGAUGGUUUGUUGGAGGAUUUUCAUCCAUUGUGUCCCCUAUGUCCAGAUUGACUCAGAAGAAAGUCAAAUUUCAGUGGUCAGAUCUUUGCGAGAAUAUUUUUCAGGAGUUGAAGACUAGACUCACUUUAGCUCUAGUUUUAGAUCCUCCAGAUAGUCUAGAUGGCUUUGUAUUUUAUUGUGAUGCAUCCAUAGUAGGUUUGGGUUGUGUCCUCAUGCAGCAUAGUAAGGUCAUAGCUUAGGCCUCCAGAUAGCUUAAGUCCCAUGAGAAGAAAUAUCCUACUCAUGGUCUUGAGUUAGUAGUCGUAGUAUUUGCCUUAAAGAUUUAGAGGCAUUAUCUAUACGUAGUUCAUGUAGAUGUGUUCAUAGACCAUAUGAGCCUUCAGUAUGUCUUUUCUCAAAAAGACCUCAAUCUUUAUCAGAGGAGGUGGUUAGAGAUAUUGAAAGAUUAUAACAUGAGUGUCUUUUAUCACUCGGGCAAGGCCAAUAUAGUGGCCAACGCUCUCAGUAGACUAUCUAUGGGUAGUGUUUCUCAUGUUGAGGACAGUAAGAAGAAGUUAGCUCAGGAAGUCCAUCAACUUAUCAGACUAGGUUUUCGCUUAGUCGAUACAACAUAGGGUGAUAUAUGGGUUCAGAGUAGUUCGGGAUCAUCUCUAGUGUUCGAGGUGAAAGAAAAGCAAGAUAGAGAUCCCAGCUUUGUCAAGAUAAAAGAGUCAGUCAAGGACCAGAAAAUAGAGGUUUUCUCCUAAGGGGGAGAUGGUGUCUUGCGUUGUCAGGGUCGUCUCUGUGUCCCAGGUAUAGAUGAAUUAAGGUAGCGAAUUCUGGCAGAAACGCAUGGUGCAUGAUACUCUAUUCAUCCAGGGGCUACUAAAAUAUACUGCGACUUACGGGAGAUCUAUUAGUGGAGUGGGAUGAAGAGAGAUGUUGCAGAGUUUGUGGCUAAGUGCUUUACAUAGAGUAUCAGAAGCUUAGUGGUCCCAUGUAGGAGUUCAUUAUUCCCACCUGGAAAUGGAAAGAAGUGAACAUAAACUUCGUGACGGGUUUUCCUCGAACUCAUAAUCAGCAUGAUUCAGUUUGGGUCAUUAUAGACAGGAUGACCAAAUCAGCUCAUGUCCUUCCAGUUCAUACCUCUUAUUUAACUGAGGAUUAUGCCAAACUUUAUAUCAGGGAGUUGGUCAGAUUGCACGGUGUUCCAUCAUCUAUUAUUUCAGACAGAGGUACCAGUUUACUUCUCACUUUUGGAAAGCGUUCCAAAAGGGUCUUAGUACCCAAGUCCAUAUCAGUACAUCCUUUCAUCCUCAGAUAGAUGGUCAAGCAGAAAGGACCAUUCAUACCCUAGAAGAUAUGCUACAAGAGUGUGCAAUUGAUUUCAAGGGUAGUUGGGAUGACCACUUGCCUUUGAUUGAGUUUGCAUACAACAACAACUAUCAUUCCAGUAUUAAGAUAGCUCCAUUCGAAACUCUCUAUAGUAGGAAGUGCAGAUCUCCAGUUGGGUGAUUUGAGAUUAGUAAGGCCUCAGUUAUAGGGCCUUACUUAGUAUUCAACGCCUUAAAAAAGUCCAGUUGAUCAGAUAAAGACUUCGGGUUGCUCAAAGCCUACAGAAGUCUUAUGCAGAUGUGCGCAGAAAGGAUCUCAAGCUUGAGAUAAGUGAUUUUUUCUAUCUAAAGAUCUCUCCCAUGAAGGGAGUGAAGAGAUUCGGCAAGAAAGGAAAGCUCAGUCCCCAAUAUGUCGUUCCCUUCAAGAUUCUCAAUCAUUUCGACAAGGUAGAUUAUGAGCUCGAGUUGCCUUCAGAUCUAGCCUCAGUUCAUCCAAUCUUUCAUAUCUCCUUGCUCAAGAUGUGUAUAGGUGACCUAUCAGUCGUAGUCCCUAUUCAGAGCAUAGAUGUUCAGAACAACCUCUUUUAUGAAGAGAUUCCAGUCAAAAUUCUAGACUAUUAAACUCAUAGACUGAGGAAUAAAGAAGUCCCUAUAGUCAAAGUUCUUUGGCGAAAUCAGUCCAUUGCGGGAGCUACUUGGGAAGCAGAAGUAGAUGUGUAAAGUACCCUUACCUCUUCUCUGCCAACUCAGACCAAGCUCAAGGUAACAGUUCUCCUUAAGUUUAUUUAGUUUCAUGUUCAGAAUCCCAUUAUAAAUUUGGUAUAAUACACCAUUGCAUAUUCAGUCACGCAUUCAUAUGUCAGUUCAAUUAUAUAAUCAUAUAUCAGAUAUGCAUUCUCAUUUUGAGAACCUCAGUUAUCAGGAAUUUCAAUCAUGUAUUCAUGAAUCAGUUAUCCAUGCAUCAGAUAUGCAUGUUCAGAAUUCAGUCAUGUCAGCCAUGAAAUUAUGUUCAGUUGUUUAUGCUUAGUAUUCACGUCAGUUAUCUUUUCUCCCCUCUUGUUCAGUCCCAUUCGGGGACGAAUGUUCCCAAGGGGGAGAUAUUGUAAGACCCCGCAAAAUCUUAUGUUGAUAAUCAGCUCUUUUAGCUCCUAAAAGCUCUUUAGAAGGUCCAACACUUAGAAUAUCUUAGCUAGGUAAGUUAAAUCAUCACGAGUAUUAACAGGUUUAUUUAAUAUCUUCAUAUUAUAAAUUUAACUGUCACGUGUCUUCUUAUGUAUAAAUGUCUGGUAACACUAAAUUUGGUGUGCAUGUGUUACAAAUCAUAUAAUAUUGUGUUCAAUAAUAUGAGUUGGUUUGUCACGAGUUUAACAAGUUUAUUAUGUAUUUUCAUAUUGUAAAUUUAACCAUCACGUGUCUUGUCAAGUAUAAAUGUCUAGUAAUACUAAAUUCAUUGUGCAUCCGUUACAACUCUUACAAUAUUGCGCUCACUAGUACACUUUGAGUUAUGCCUAUAAUUAAAUCUAUAAAAAAAAUAUUUAUGCCUUUUAUAAGUUUCAUAUGAAACUAGUUUCUCGACGCAUGCGUCACACGUGUAUGCCUAGUCACGCAAUACAAAUUCUGUUAAAUAUUAAUAAUACUCGUUGAUAUAAAAUUGAGUGAAAUAUCUAGUACCCCCAUAGUCUAACUUCCCGGGGAUCCUAUCCCCCCCUCCCCCUCCAACCUCAAUUCUGCGUAUUUUGUCACCAUUUUUUUACUGACAUGGCACCUUUUGUGAACCAUUUUAGAUGAUGUGACACCUUUGAUAUGGGACCUCAUUUUAUUUUAUAAAGGUGUCACUCAGCACAAAAGGGUGUCAAAAAUAUUCUAAAAUUGAGUUCGGUGGGGUAAUAGGACCCCUGCGAAGUUGAAGUUUGUUGUAACAACUUUGAUCAUAGUUCGAGGAGGUAUUGAAUGUUUAUCUCAAUAAAAUUUAGAUUAAGCAAAAUUGCACAUUUAUGUAACUAAUCAAUGCAGAUCAUUAUUUGGUGACAUCUUUAUCUAAUCAAUGCAGAUCAUUAUUUGGUGACAUCUUUAUCGAGAUAAAGAUGACUGAAUGUUGCCUAAUCUAUGAAGAUGAACAAUUAAACUUUCGGAUACACGUAUUAUUUAUACUAAGCAAAAGAUAUAUCGUCACCAUUUUUAUUAUAUCGUCAAUUUACAAUUAUCAUAACAACUUCACAACCAAUCGAUUCAUACUUUUAAGAAUUUCAGUCAUUUUUAGGAAAAUCCUCAUAUUAUAUAUAUAUAUAUAUAUAUUAUAUAUAUAUUAAUUCGUUCUUCUCCCAUUAGUGAUUUCUUUACCUUGAACCUCUUCCAAUUGCUAGUACUUUUAGAACAUAAUCAAUUUUUUAAUUAUAAUUUGCUAAUUAGUAUAUGUUAUAAACCUAAAAAGGUUUUAUGGGUAAAGGAAAAUAAGAUAUAGUAAAAUUAUAAGUUAGUUUUUUAGUUUUUGUACUUUUAUUAUGACUAGUCUAACAGCACGUGCCUCGCACGUGUAACAUUUGAUUAUUUAAAAUUAAAUAAUUAUAUUUAUUGCGAAAAUUUUUAAUAAAGUGUAAAAGUUCAAAGCACUUUUCAAAAAUCUUUCAUACUUUAAUAUAAUAAUGUAAACAUAAACAUAUAUACAUAUAUAUUUUGCCACCAGAAGUCCAAGUGAUUGAUGGAACAUUAUUUUUGCAUUUGCAAUCUAGUACGUCUUUCCGUUGUUGCCAUAUACUAAGAGAGACGCAUCAAUUUGAAUCAUAUUUGCAUUAUGAUUAUUUUUAUUUUUGUUUAUAAUUAAAAUCUUUCCUUAUGUUUAAAGUUAGAUCUUUAUAAAAUAUUAAUUGCAUUCUUACUCCGUACUUAAAUUUUUUAAAAGCUGGUACUUCUUAAACUUUUCUUAUUCUAAUGGUUUUAUAUUUAUUUAUAGAUUUUUCAAAUCUUCUUAAAAUCAAAUUUAGUUGACUUGGAAUUUUUAAUCUAAUGAAAAAGUAUUAAUUGUCAUUAAUUUUGAUGACUUUUAAUAAGAAAAGAUUUUACCAAUAUUUAAUUCAUUUUCAACUCUUAAAUUAGGAAAAAAAUAGUGAAAUUCUGAUGACUUCUAAUAAAAUAGAUUUUUGCUAUAAAUAUAUUUAAUUAGUUUUCAACUCUUAAGUAUUAGGAAAAUAUAGUGAAAAGACGAUUUUGUCUAAAACAAAGACUUUUAAUGAAGGACAAAAAGUUCAAACAAUAUUUCGAAGGCCCUUCACACUUACUCUUUAAUAUAAUAAUAUAAAUAUAAAUAAAUAUUUUACAUCAUCACUUUUGUGUUUGUUAUAUAUAUAUAUAUAUAUAUAUUACAUCAUCACUUUUGCGUUUGUCAUGCUACCUCUUUCCCAGAGACGCUUUAACUUGAAUCAUACUUGUGGUACGGUUAUUUUUUAUAUGUUUAAAAUUUUUUCUUGUUUUUAAAGUCAAAUCUUUACAAAAUCAUUAAUUAUAUUCUUACUACUUACUUAAAACUUUUAAAUAUUUGGUACUUCUUAAAUUUUUCUUAUUCUAACGCUUUUAUAUUUAUUUCUAGAUUUUUCAAAUCUUCUUGAACUCAAAUUUAAUUAAUUUAGAAUUUUUAAACUAAUAAAAAAAUUAUUAGUUGUCAUUAAUGUUGAUGACUUCUAAUAAACCAUAAAUAUAUUUAAUUAAUUUUCAAUUCAUAAAUAUUAGAAAAAAUAGUGAAAGGCGUUUUUGUAUAAAACAAAGAUUUUUAAUCAAGAAUAAAAAAUUCAAACAACAUUUCUAUAGCCCUUUACACUUUUAAUAUAUAUUAGAUAUAGAUAUAUAUAUAUAGAUAGAUAGAUUAUAGAUUAUAGAUUUAUAGAUUAUAGAUAAUUAAAAAAAUAACACACAAUGUAACGCUCUAUCCCGCAAUCUCAUUUAAAUAAUCAAAGUAAUUAAAAUAUAUAUUGCACAUUUUCCAGCACCCUAAAGACCGUUUUUAGCUAAAAACAUGGCUUUGGAGAAUCCUUUUUUUCUUUUUCUUUUUAUCUUGCAUUAAUAUGCUACACAUGAAAUAGGCUGGGUUUUCUGCAUAUAUUUUUCACAAAUUAAACUUCAUCACAUACAAUCGAGUAUAUUUCUUUUUUGAAAAGAAAAUAAAAGAUUAACCAAUUCAUUCCUGAUCAUCAAAAAGAAAUAGCAUCCCUUGCGAUAUAGAGGAGGAAUGUAGCAGGUAAGUAUACAUCUUAAGAAUUAGAAGGAACAAAACCUGUAUCAAAUCAUGAUUUAGUUAUAGUAACGUAGUUGUAAGGCACUUAAUACCUCAAUAUAAAAAAUAUAAAACAUGACUCUUACAAUUACAAUUUAGAACACAUAAACUGAUCACUUACCUUAUCAAAAAGAUUUUUAGCACUAACCUUAUUUUCCACAAUUAAUUCAAGAUCUUCUCCAAUUGAGAAGUUUGAUGUCUUUCUUUCCCCGAAUAUCUAUCACAAAUAGAGAAGAUAAAUAGUAAAACACAUAAAAUUAAUUUUUUAAAAUGAUAAAAUAAAAACUAUUCAUAAAACACUUCAGAAAGAUAUCAAGAAAAUAAAAACAAAACUAAAGUCUUAGAUGUAGCAUCAAUCCUAAAAAAUGGUAAAAUAAAAUUACAUGAAUCUAUAUUAUUAACUAAAGCGAAGCAAAAGUGAGUUGAUGAAAUGAAAUUGGCAUACAAGAAAACCUUUAGGACAAAGCCUAUUUUAGUUGGAAAAUGAUUCUAUUGACCCAUUUUGGGGGUCUAUAUCUAUAUUUUUUUGGGGGGGGGGGGGAACAAGUCUAUUAGUUAGAAAAGGAUUUUGCCUAUUUUUUGGGACUUAAUGCUGCUGCACGUACAAAAAACAAAAGUAAAAACAAAGGCACGGAAUUUAAUCAUCAUACCAUAAACUUAGUAAUUUAACAGAAAAAAAUAUUAUUUUAAUGAAUUAAGGAAAUAUUUUAUCAUAAAUAUAUUUAAUUAAUUUAUAAUUUUUAAAUAUUAGAAAAAAUAGUGAAAAGACAAUUUUGUCUAAGACAAAGACUUUUAACGAAGGUCAAAAAGUUCAAACGCUAUUUCUAAGACCCUUUACACUUUUAAUAUAUUAUAGAUAUAGAUUAUAGAUUAUAGAUUAACAUUUCAAUUGAUUUACUAAUCUAGAUAAUAGAAAGCUUCAUUAAAGACGAAAGAUGAAACAAAGAGAAAACUUGAUUUAAUAACAUAGGAAUUUCAUAACCUUUUUUUGUUUUUGGAACAAAGAUAAAAGUUCAUCAUAUUAAAAGGUGUAACUGGUCAAGUCUCCUCUAGUCACAACUUUAUAUUCAAGAACUUCAAUUAUCACCUCCGUGAUAAUUAUGAGUUCAAGAACUCAUCUCUUCUAGAUCAAGGGCAACUUCUGAAAUGAACUUGAAUUGCUCGGCUUGAACAUCACCUUUUAUUUCAUUUUUAAUUUUGUCCAACCGUAAUUUAUAUGCCUCAAAUUGCUUCAACUUGUUCUCCAAUAUGUGUUUAUCUGUUGGCAGUUCUGAGCCAAGGUCUUUCUCCUUGAAUGCUUGUACUUCUUUACGAAGAUCUUCAAAUGCCUCAAAGACAUUUGUUUUGCUCAUAUCAGUAUGAUUCUGUUGGCUAUCGUUUUGUUUUAAUUCAUGAAACUUAUCAAUUAUUUUUUCUAUACUUGGGGAGCCAUAGGAAUGUGGUUUUCCAGCUUGUGUAAAGAGAAUAAAACCGACAUCUGCUCCGGUAAGAUUUGAAUAGUCUUUUGCUUUCUUGCUCAAGCCAUUUUUUCUUUUUGAAAAAGCAACUGUGCGAGCUUCUUUAGACUCAAUCAAAUUCAUUUCGAUCUUUUGCCUACCCUUUCCACCCCUUUUAUCCAUUGCGAA